UGGGGGAUAUUGCACAAUGGGGGAAACCCUGAUGCAGCGACGCCGCGUGAGUGAAGAAGUAUUUCGGUAUGUAAAGCUCUAUCAGCAGGGAAGAAAAAGACGGUACCUGACUAAGAAGCCCCGGCUAACUACGUCGCC
RNAcentral lists this ribosomal RNA (138 nucleotides) under uncultured bacterium. Its description in RNAcentral is "partial 16S ribosomal RNA". It matches the Rfam family "Bacterial small subunit ribosomal RNA", at positions 355 to 509 of the family's 1533-position model. The record is from RNAcentral.